Long non-coding RNA from Ornithodoros turicata, 342 nucleotides. RefSeq lists it as uncharacterized. Lineage: Eukaryota; Metazoa; Arthropoda; Arachnida; Ixodida; Argasidae. The record is from RefSeq and is a predicted model, not a curated record. The transcript is spliced from 3 exons.
CUGGCAUGUUGUAAAAGGGAUGAAGAAAAAGCUUGAAGCUGCAGCCAAUUCCCGUGCAUGUGCUGCCCUAAAACCAUGGGUGCAGCAUAUUUGUAACCACCUUUACUGGUGUAGUGGCAACUCUGAGGGGAAUACAGAGUUUCUGCUUAGCAUGUGGAGAAGUUUGACCCGGCAUGUUAUCAACAUCCAUGACAGCCAUGACGGACCAUACAACCGUUGCCUCCACGGUGACCUUGGCGACCGGAGACCCUGGCUGCAGCCUGGUAAUUGGAGGGCGUGAGAGUACAUUUGCUUUCUAGCCCAUAUUGACUAAUGUGUGCAUGGUGUUCUCACUUUAUACGU